CAGCAGCCACGGUAAAACGGAGGGUGCAAGCGUUAAUCGGAAUUACUGGGCGUAAAGCGUGCGCAGGCGGUUAUAUAAGACAGAUGUGAAAUCCCCGGGCUCAACCUGGGAACUGCAUUUGUGACUGUAUAGCUAGAGUACGGCAGAGGGGGAUGGAAUUCCGCGUGUAGCAGUGAAAUGCGUAGAUAUGCGGAGGAACACCGAUGGCGAAGGCAAUCCCCUGGGCCUGUACUGACGCUCAUGCACGAAAGCGUGGGGAGCAAACAGGAUUAGAUACCCCUGUAGUCCCUGUCUCUUAUAC
This 301-nucleotide ribosomal RNA is filed under the name uncultured bacterium. RNAcentral describes it as "partial 16S ribosomal RNA". It matches the Rfam family "Bacterial small subunit ribosomal RNA", at positions 509 to 807 of the family's 1533-position model. The record is from RNAcentral.